GAUGAACGCUGGCGGCGUGCUUAACACAUGCAAGUCGAACGGAAAGGCCAGUGCUUGCACUGGUACUCGAGUGGCGAACGGGUGAGUAACACGUGGGUGAUCUGCCCUGCACUUCGGGAUAAGCCUGGGAAACUGGGUCUAAUACCGGAUAGGACAAUGGUUUGGAUGCCGUUGUGGAAAGUUUUUUCGGCGUGGGAUGAGCUCGCGGCCUAUCAGCUUGUUGGUGGGGUAAUGGCCUACCAAGGCGUCGACGGGUAGCCGGCCUGAGAGGGUGUACGGCCACAUUGGGACUGAGAUACGGCCCAGACUCCUACGGGAGGCAGCAGUGGGGAAUAUUGCACAAUGGGCGCAAGCCUGAUGCAGCGACGCCGCGUGGGGGAUGACGGCCUUCGGGUUGUAAACUCCUUUCGCUAGGGACGAAGCGUAUUUGUGACGGUACCUGGAGAAGAAGCACCGGCUAACUACGUG
RNAcentral lists this ribosomal RNA (468 nucleotides) under uncultured bacterium. RNAcentral describes it as "partial 16S ribosomal RNA". It matches the Rfam family "Bacterial small subunit ribosomal RNA", at positions 28 to 507 of the family's 1533-position model. The record is from RNAcentral.